RNAcentral lists this ribosomal RNA (397 nucleotides) under uncultured bacterium. RNAcentral's name for it is "partial 16S ribosomal RNA". It matches the Rfam family "Bacterial small subunit ribosomal RNA", at positions 523 to 918 of the family's 1533-position model. The record is from RNAcentral.
AUACGUAGGGGGCGAGCGUUGUCCGGAAUGAUUGGGCGUAAAGGGCGCGUAGGCGGCCCGGUAAGUCUGGAGUGAAAGUCCUGUUUUUAAGAUGGGAAUUGCUUUGGAUACUGUCGGGCUUGAGUGCAGGAGAGGUAAGUGGAAUUCCCAGUGUAGCGGUGAAAUGCGUAGAGAUUGGGAGGAACACCAGUGGCGAAGGCGACUUACUGGACUGUAACUGACGCUGAGGCGCGAAAGCGUGGGGAGCGAACAGGAUUAGAUACCCUGGUAGUCCACGCGGUAAACGAUGAAUGCUAGGUGUUGCGGGUAUCGACCCCUGCAGUGCCGGAGUAAACACAAUAAGCAUUCCGCCUGGGGAGUACGGCCGCAAGGUUGAAACUCAAAUGAAUUGGCAGGG